RNAcentral lists this ribosomal RNA (1492 nucleotides) under metagenome. RNAcentral describes it as "bacterial SSU rRNA". It matches the Rfam family "Bacterial small subunit ribosomal RNA". The record is from RNAcentral.
AGAGUUUGAUCCUGGCUCAGAUUGAACGCUGGCGGCAUGCCUUACACAUGCAAGUCGAACGGUAACGCGGGGGCAACCCUGGCGACGAGUGGCGAACGGGUGAGUAAUACAUCGGAACAUAUCCAGUAGCGGGGGAUAACCUAUCGAAAGAUGGACUAAUACCGCAUACGAUCUACGGAUGAAAGCAGGGGACCGCAAGGCCUUGCACUAUUGGAGUGGCCGAUGUCGGAUUAGCUAGUUGGUGGGGUAAAAGCUUACCAAGGCGACGAUCCGUAGCUGGUCUGAGAGGACGAUCAGCCACACUGGAACUGAGACACGGUCCAGACUCCUACGGGAGGCAGCAGUGGGGAAUUUUGGACAAUGGGCGCAAGCCUGAUCCAGCCAUGCCGCGUGAGUGAAGAAGGCCUUCGGGUUGUAAAGCUCUUUCGGUGAAGACGAAACGGUUCAUGCUAAUAACGUGAACUAAUGACGGUACUCACAGAAGAAGCACCGGCUAACUACGUGCCAGCAGCCGCGGUAAUACGUAGGGUGCAGGCGUUAAUCGGAAUUACUGGGCGUAAAGCGUGCGCAGGCGGUUUGCUAAGACAGGUGUGAAAUCCCCGGGCUUAACCUGGGAAUUGCGCUUGUAACUGGCAAGCUAGAGUGUGGCAGAGGGGGGUGGAAUUCCACGUGUAGCAGUGAAAUGCGUAGAUAUGUGGAGGAACACCGAUGGCGAAGGCAGCCCCCUGGGUUAACACUGACGCUCAUGCACGAAAGCGUGGGGAGCAAACAGGAUUAGAUACCCUGGUAGUCCACGCCCUAAACUAUGUCAACUAGUUGUCGGGGAAGAAAUUCCUUGGUAACGAAGCUAACGCGUGAAGUUGACCGCCUGGGGAGUACGGCCGCAAGGUUAAAACUCAAAGGAAUUGACGGGGACCCGCACAAGCGGUGGAUUAUGUGGAUUAAUUCGAUGCAACGCGAAAAACCUUACCUACCCUUGACAUGCUAGGAAGCCCGCAGAGAUGUGGGUGUGCCCGAAAGGGAACCUAGACACAGGUGCUGCAUGGCUGUCGUCAGCUCGUGUCGUGAGAUGUUGGGUUAAGUCCCGCAACGAGCGCAACCCUUGCCAUUAGUUGCUACAUUCAGUUGGGCACUCUAAUGGGACCGCCGGUGACAAACCGGAGGAAGGUGGGGAUGACGUCAAGUCCUCAUGGCCCUUAUGGAUAGGGCUCACACGUAAUACAAUGGUCGGUACAGAGGGCUGCCAACCCGCAAGGGGGAGCUAAUCCCAGAAAGCCGAUCGUAGUCCGGAUUGUAGUCUGCAACUCGACUGCAUGAAGCCGGAAUCGCUAGUAAUCGCGGAUCAGCAUGUCGCGGUGAAUACGUUCCCGGGUCUUGUACACACCGCCCGUCACACCAUGGGAGUGGGUUCCACCAGAAGUAGUUAGCCUAACCGCAAGGAGGGCGAUUACCACGGUGAGAUUCAUGACUGGGGUGAAGUCGUAACAAGGUA